RNAcentral lists this long non-coding RNA (356 nucleotides) under Setaria viridis. RNAcentral's name for it is "long non-coding RNA (SVIR_LNC004852)". The record is from RNAcentral. Lineage: Eukaryota; Viridiplantae; Streptophyta; Magnoliopsida; Poales; Poaceae.
UCGUUCAAGUACAUAUGUGCCCAUGUAGGAGCUCAGACUGAUUCAUUAAUUGUAAUAAAUGGUUGUUGUCCGCAUCAUAGAUGCGGAAGUUAGAGUAUUGAUUCUAUUGCUUUAUUAAGGAAAGAUAACUAGGCGUUUUAGUUUUGGUUAUAAUAUGCGAACACUAUAUGGAGCUAGUCAAUUAGCUGACUAGGCUAUUGUUGAAAUGUAGCGUUGCUUCAAUUUUCUUUCAAUUAAUGGCAUAAUGCAAUUCCAGUUUCAUUGGAUAAAGAAAGAAAGUUAAGCAAGUAACUUUUUUUUGUUUGUGUACACAAGUGCUCCAGCUUUGCUUUCACGGAACAAACUUUGGUUGUCCU